Molecule: non-coding RNA, 945 nt
Organism: Nelumbo nucifera (sacred lotus)
Lineage: Eukaryota; Viridiplantae; Streptophyta; Magnoliopsida; Proteales; Nelumbonaceae
Source: RefSeq, a predicted model, not a curated record
CAGUUAUUGUAGGUGGGUUUCUUUAAUUUUAGAAUAGUUUGUCUUUUUUAAUCAUUUUGGGCCAAAUUUAUGUGGUGGUAUAUCAGAAUCAAGUGUUGUAUUCGAUGUCUUUUGUGUAAUCGGUUGGGGUGUUGGCUCUAUCUUGUUUCUGCUUGUAUUUCUUGUCGUUGUUGCCUAAGUGAGUUGAGAAUUGGAAUUAUUGUUGGAGCUCGAGUUUGUUUUGAGUUCUGGGUGGGUUUGUGGAUUCCCAUUUAGGAAUUUAGUAUAAUUCAUGAUUCCUAGGGUUUGUUUAUGCUCAUUUCUAUUAAUGGUUCUUUUGAUUUCUUAUCUGGAUCAAUCUUUUAGGUGAUUUCAGUUUGUGGAAAUCCAUGUUCGUAAGCAGAGUAUAAAGGAGUGGUUUGAUCUUUGAUGGAGGUUAAUGGUAUGGCGAGAGGAAUGAUCUCUGGUCUGUCUCUUGGAAUGCUUGGGUUGGAGAUGCCUCUGCAUCAAACAUAGCAACAACACCAUCCUCACCAACACCACCAGUAGCAACAACACCCCCAAAUGGUGUCAUUUCCAGGUUAAGACGCCAAUCAUCACUUGUAGUCUCAGUCUGUGAAGCAGCAUGAACACCCUUCUUAUGCCACCAAAGCGAAACCACAACCAGCAUUGAGACGAGGAGUAGGAAUUCGCGGGGGAAGACGGUGGAGCAGACGAGAGAAAGAGGAUGUCUCUGUGGCAGAGAAUGAAGUGGACAGAUAACAUGGUGAGGCUUCUCAUCAUGGUGGUCUUCUACAUCGGCGACGACGGUGGCUCUGAAGGCAACGACCCCUUCGGCGCUGCCAAGAAGAAGCCUGACGGGCUUCUGCAGAAGAAAGGCAAGUGGUUUUAGGUUGGUAUAAGAAAUCCACAGGAUUCCGCAAAAACCUCUUCACAUUUUUGAGUUUUGACCUCUGAAAUUUCGAA